RNAcentral lists this ribosomal RNA (253 nucleotides) under uncultured bacterium. RNAcentral's name for it is "partial 16S ribosomal RNA". It matches the Rfam family "Bacterial small subunit ribosomal RNA", at positions 524 to 776 of the family's 1533-position model. The record is from RNAcentral.
UACAGAGAGGGCAAGCGUUGUUCGGAAUUACUGGGCGUAAAGGGCGCGUAGGCGGCCGCCUAAGUCAGACGUGAAAUCCCUCGGCUCAACCGGGGAACUGCGUCUGAUACUGGGUGGCUUGAAUCCGGGAGAGGGAUGCGGAAUUCCAGGUGUAGCGGUGAAAUGCGUAGAUAUCUGGAGGAACACCGGUGGCGAAGGCGGCAUCCUGGACCGGCAUUGACGCUGAGGCGCGAAAGCCAGGGGAGCAAACGGG